UACGGGAGGGGCAAGCGUUACCCACCAUGACUGGGCGUAAAGAGUCCGUAGACUGUAUAGUAAGUUACUUGUUAAACUUUAAAGCCUAACUUUAAAUCAGCUUUUAAUACUGCUAUACUUUGAGUUUUAUACAGAAAAGUAGAAUUUUAUAUGAAAGGGUAAAAUCUAAAAAUAAAUAAAGGAAUAUCAUUAGCGAAGGCGACUUUUUAGUAAAAACUGACGUUGAGGGACGAAAGUGUAGGUAGCAAACAGG
Molecule: ribosomal RNA, 253 nt
Filed under: uncultured bacterium
Lineage: Bacteria
Description: partial 16S ribosomal RNA
Rfam family: Bacterial small subunit ribosomal RNA
Source: RNAcentral